This 56-nucleotide transfer RNA is filed under the name Pelomedusa schweinfurthi. RNAcentral describes it as "transfer RNA-Ser". The record is from RNAcentral. Lineage: Eukaryota; Metazoa; Chordata; Testudines; Pelomedusidae.
GGAAGAUAUAAGAAACCGCUAACUUCUGACCCUGAAAUUAAAACUUCAGCUUCCCC